RNAcentral lists this ribosomal RNA (253 nucleotides) under uncultured bacterium. RNAcentral's name for it is "partial 16S ribosomal RNA". It matches the Rfam family "Bacterial small subunit ribosomal RNA", at positions 524 to 776 of the family's 1533-position model. The record is from RNAcentral.
GACGUAGGGCGCGAGCGUUGUCCGGAUUUAUUGGGCGUAAAGAGCUCGUAGGCGGUUUGUCACGUCGGAUGUGAAAACCCGAGGCUUAACCUCGGGCCUGCAUUCGAUACGGGCUGACUAGAGUUCGGUAGGGGAGACUGGAAUUUACGGUGUAGCGGUGAAAUGCGUAGAUAUCGUAAGGAAGACCAGUGGCGAAGGCGGGUCUCUGGACAGUUCCUGACGCUGAGGCACGAAGGUCAGGGGAGCAAACGGG